GACGAACGCUGGCGGCGUGCCUAAUACAUGCAAGUCGAGCGAAUUUACGAGAGCUUGCUCUCGUAAAUUAGCGGCGGACGGGUGAGUAACACGUGGGCAACCUACCUAUAAGACUGGGAUAACUUCGGGAAACCGGAGCUAAUACCGGAUAAUUCACAUCUACUCAUGUAGAUGUGCUGAAAGACGGCUUACGCUGUCACUUAUAGAUGGGCCCGCGGCGCAUUAGCUAGUUGGUGAGGUAACGGCUCACCAAGGCCACGAUGCGUAGCCGACCUGAGAGGGUGAUCGGCCACACUGGGACUGAGACACGGCCCAGACUCCUAC
RNAcentral lists this ribosomal RNA (324 nucleotides) under uncultured bacterium. RNAcentral describes it as "bacterial SSU rRNA". It matches the Rfam family "Bacterial small subunit ribosomal RNA", at positions 28 to 342 of the family's 1533-position model. The record is from RNAcentral.